Long non-coding RNA from Thalassophryne amazonica, 1068 nucleotides. RefSeq lists it as uncharacterized. The record is from RefSeq and is a predicted model, not a curated record. NCBI's taxonomy places the organism in Eukaryota, Metazoa, Chordata, Actinopteri, Batrachoidiformes, Batrachoididae. The transcript has 4 exons.
UGUCCCUACCGAGCAGCGGGUGCAAAUGCGGGUGUGCAAGCGGAGGGAGUGGCAGCCUGACAUUUCAUGCAUCACACAACACCAUGACUUUUGAUAAAUCUGCCUGGACAAAGAUGUACUUGAAGUGGCCUACAAUGCCUAUCGAGAGCACUACAGGGGUAACUUUGGAAAUGAGUGAGUGUGCAAACAAUAUACCAACAAUAUUAGUGAUAAUUUGCUGGACUGUACCAUAAUAAUGGUCACUUGUAUUGUUUGUUGAGUGGUAAGAACUGUGUAACAACUACUUUGAAGUCACACGAUGUGAAAAAAAAUCUGUAAUGUAUCACAUUGUAAACACUUGCUUUUGUAACCUUGCAGCUGGAAGAGGUAUACAGCAUACAGGCAGUUUGUUCGGUGGUGCUUGGGGUUCCUGGGCAGACAUACCCGUGUCCCACUGCCUUCGUGUGCUGUGGCACUUAUACGAAGGCAAUUUCCCUCUCCUGAUUACAAAGGAUUCCAGGAAGCUGCUGACGACUGAACUUUGUUGACAGAUAAAAUGAUAAUGCAAAUAAAGUAGAUGGAGCCCUGACUCCAUUCAACUGAGAUCUGCUUACACCCUGCUUAAACGUGUUCAUCACCGGCCCCCCGUAGUUCGCCAUCACACUGCACUGAUCGGCUGACAAAAGCAUACAGGUGUUCCAGUGAGCGAUGCGAGGACAUGGAGACGGUAGAGGAAAGUGUCUGAUGUCGGGAGCAAAUGCGGGUGUGCAAGCGGAGGGAGUGGCAGCCUGACAUUUCAUGCAUCACACAACACCAUGACUUUCGAUAAAUCUGCCUGGACAAAGAUGUACUUGAAGUGGCCUACAAUGCCUAUCGAGAGCACUACAGGGGUAACUUUGGAAAUGACUGGAAGAGGUAUACAGCAUACAGGCAGUUUGUUCGGUGGUGCUUGGGGUUCCUGGGUAGACAUACCCGUGUCCCUCUGCCUUCGUGUGCUGUGGCACUUAUACAAAGGCAAUUUCCCUCUCCUGACUACAAAGGAUUCCAGGAAGCUGCUGACGACUGAACUUUGUUGACAGAUAAAAUGAU